Molecule: ribosomal RNA, 472 nt
Filed under: uncultured bacterium
Lineage: Bacteria
Description: bacterial SSU rRNA
Rfam family: Bacterial small subunit ribosomal RNA
Source: RNAcentral
GGCUAACGCUGGCGGCGUGCCUAAUGCAUGCAAGUCGAGCGGGCUACAGUCUUCGGAUUGUAGCUUAGCGGCGAACGGGUGAGUAACACGUAGGUAAUCUACCCUUCAGAGGAGGACAACCUCAGGAAACUGAGGCUAAACCUUCAUACGUUCACUGGUAGGGAUACUGGUGAAGAAAGAGUUACCUUAGUGGUAGCUGCUGAAGGAUGAGCCUGCGGCCCAUCAGGUAGUUGGUGAGGUAACGGCUCACCAAGCCGAAGACGGGUAACCGGUCUGAGAGGAUGUCCGGUCACACUGGGACUGAGACACGGCCCAGACUCCUACGGGAGGCAGCAGCAGGGAAUCUUGGGCAAUGGGCGAAAGCCUGACCCAGCGACGCCGCGUGGAGGAAGAAGUCCUUCGGGGCGUAAACUCCUGGACUGGGGGACGAGGAAGGACGGUACCCCAGUAGAAAGGGACGGCUAACUACGUG